This 26-nucleotide non-coding RNA is filed under the name Homo sapiens (human). Lineage: Eukaryota; Metazoa; Chordata; Mammalia; Primates; Hominidae. The record is from RNAcentral.
UCGGAGAUCUUGCAGGAGCUGGGCAA